Molecule: long non-coding RNA, 986 nt
Filed under: Homo sapiens (human)
Lineage: Eukaryota; Metazoa; Chordata; Mammalia; Primates; Hominidae
Description: HSALNT0402862
Source: RNAcentral
CUGGCGUGGAACGGGUACUCAAUAAAUGAUGAAUGAAUGAAUGAAUGAAUGAAAAUGGACACAUCAAUUCUAGUUGACUUUCUGGCCUUUGGCCAGGUACUUAACUGCUCUGAGCCCCAGUUUCUGCAUCCAUAGCAUGGGGGAUAGUAAGAGUUCCUACUUCACAGGGUUGUCAUCAGAAUUCAAUGAGACAAAAUAUGCAAAGUACUUAGCGCGUUGUGUAGAAUGUAAUAGGCACUCAACCAAUGUUAGCUUAGUACUACUUUUUCUGUGUAAGAUUAUGUUGUCCUUUCCACAGCCCUGUAAGGAGAAAUAUACCAUCCCCACUGAACAGAUGAGAAAACUGAGGCUCAGAGGUGUCAGGUGACUGCCUGAGGUCACAGGUGGGACUGGGGCUCCUUGGUCUGUCCUCUUUCUACUGCGAAACAGUCUGGUGAAGCCACAGAAGGACCCAUUCCUGCUAAUGAGGCACUAAAGGAAUGGACCACGCAGUAUCCUUCAAGGAAGAAUCAAGAAUGUUUCCACAGAGAAUAUACAUAUUUCAUCUCUUUCUCUGCUGAAUGGAUCCCCACUGAAAGCCAUGAAUUACUCUCAUUAGACCCUGUAGAAUCCCAGUUUAUGGCAGUGACAUUAAAAACAUCUAGUUUAUGACUUGGAUUAGGCAGCCUGUAAAAUGGCUUCCAGUGAUCCCUGCUUUCUGGUAUGUAUGCCUUUGUAUAAUACCCUCCUCAUGAGUGUAGGCAGAGGUAACAUCACUUUUGAAACUAGGUUAUAUAUAUUAAAACAAACAAACAAACCUGUGGCUUCCAUUUUGGGUACUUUAUCUCACACUCUGAUUUCUUGCUCCGUGGGAAACAGACUGUAAUAUUGUAAGCAGUGCUAUGGAGAGGUCCAUGUGGUAAGGAAGUGAUAGGUCCUGAUAACAGCCAGUGAGGAUCUAAGGUGGAUCCCUUUCUGAGUUGAAUAUUGAGAUAGAUGACUACAGC